This 1552-nucleotide ribosomal RNA is filed under the name Evansella alkalicola. RNAcentral's name for it is "partial 23S ribosomal RNA". It matches the Rfam family "Bacterial large subunit ribosomal RNA", at positions 1328 to 2869 of the family's 2925-position model. Lineage: Bacteria; Bacillati; Bacillota; Bacilli; Caryophanales; Bacillaceae. The record is from RNAcentral.
UCCCCUCCGUCGAAAGCCUAAGGUUUCCUGAGGAAGGCUCGUCCGCUCAGGGUAAGUCGGGACCUAAGCCGAGGCCGAAAGGCGUAGGCGAUGGCAAACAGGUUGAAAUUCCUGUACCACCACGUCACCAUUUGAGCAAUGGGGGGACGCAGGAAGGUAGGGUAAGCGCGGCGAUGGAAUGCCGCGUCCAAGCAGUUAGGCUGACAAGUAGGCAAAUCCGCUUGUCAUAAAGGCUGAGCUGUGAUGGCGAGGGAAAUAUUAGUACCGAAGUUCCUGAUCCUACACUGCCAAGAAAAGCCUCUAGCGAGGUGACUGGUGCCCGUACCGCAAACCGACACAGGUAGGCGGGAAGAGAAUUCUAAGACGCGCGGGAGAACUCUCGUUAAGGAACUCGGCAAAAUGACCCCGUAACUUCGGGAGAAGGGGUGCUCUAUUAGGGUUUACGCCCGAGAGAGCCGCAGUGAAUAGGCCCAAGCGACUGUUUAUCAAAAACACAGGUCUCUGCUAAGCCGCAAGGCGACGUAUAGGGGCUGACACCUGCCCGGUGCUGGAAGGUUAAGAGGAGGGGUUAUCCUUUUUGGAGAAGCUCUGAAUUGAAGCCCCAGUAAACGGCGGCCGUAACUAUAACGGUCCUAAGGUAGCGAAAUUCCUUGUCGGGUAAGUUCCGACCCGCACGAAAGGUGUAACGAUUUGGGCACUGUCUCAACGAGAGACCCGGUGAAAUUAUAUUACCUGUGAAGAUGCAGGUUACCUGCGACAGGACGGAAAGACCCCAUGGAGCUUUACUGUAGCUUGAUAUUGGAUUUUGGUACAGCUUGUACAGGAUAGGUAGGAGCCUUGGAAGCCGGAGCGCCAGCUUCGGUGGAGGCGUUGGUGGGAUACUACCCUGGCUGUACUGAAAUUCUAACCUCGAACCGUGAUCCGGUUCAGGGACAGUGUCAGGUGGGCAGUUUGACUGGGGCGGUCGCCUCCUAAAAAGUAACGGAGGCGCCCAAAGGUUCCCUCAGAAUGGUUGGAAAUCAUUCGCAGAGUGCAAAGGCAUAAGGGAGCUUGACUGCGAGACAUACAGGUCGAGCAGGGACGAAAGUCGGGCUUAGUGAUCCGGCGGCACCGUAUGGAAGGGCCGUCGCUCAACGGAUAAAAGCUACCCUGGGGAUAACAGGCUAAUCUCCCCCAAGAGUCCACAUCGACGGGGAGGUUUGGCACCUCGAUGUCGGCUCGUCGCAUCCUGGGGCUGAAGUAGGUCCCAAGGGUUGGGCUGUUCGCCCAUUAAAGCGGCACGCGAGCUGGGUUCAGAACGUCGUGAGACAGUUCGGUCCCUAUCCGUCGCAGGCGUAGGAAAUUUGAGAGGAGCUGUCCUUAGUACGAGAGGACCGGGAUGGACACACCGCUGGUGUACCAGUUGUUCCGCCAGGAGCAUCGCUGGGUAGCUACGUGUGGAAGGGAUAAGUGCUGAAAGCAUCUAAGCAUGAAGCCCCCCUCAAGAUGAGAUUUCCCAUCACGUAAGUGAGUAAGAUCCCUCAGAGAUGAUGAGGUUGAUAGGUCUCGUGUG